Molecule: non-coding RNA, 31 nt
Filed under: Rattus norvegicus (Norway rat)
Lineage: Eukaryota; Metazoa; Chordata; Mammalia; Rodentia; Muridae
Source: RNAcentral
UGCACAAGGUAACCAGAGCUGCUGUAAGUGA